Oncorhynchus mykiss (rainbow trout) is the source of this 4998-nucleotide non-coding RNA. NCBI's taxonomy places the organism in Eukaryota, Metazoa, Chordata, Actinopteri, Salmoniformes, Salmonidae. The record is from RefSeq and is a predicted model, not a curated record.
GGAUUAAAUAUCAGGAAUUGUGAAAAGCUGAGUUUAAAUGUAUUUGGCUAAGGUGUAUGUAAAUUUCCGACUUCAACUGUGUAUAUUGAGGACUAAUCUGAUUAAGGUGAGUUGUUUAUUUAGCCAAAUAAUAACUACAUUUUCGAUUUGUGCGUGAUGCUUUUAAAUAUUGUGGCCAUUGCAUCGGCACCAAGCUAACUGCGUUUUGCACUCGCUCUGCAACCAGUUCAUUUUAGCAGUCUUGUAAGACUGCUCCUAGAACAUGACAACAUAAUAUAGUGACUAGCUGGAAUUAUGAGUGUAUUUUACUGGACUAAUUAGGCCAUGUCCAUAUUUUGGGACAGUGAAUAUGAGUUGAAUAGUCUGUUUGCUGUAGUUUGGGACCUGCUUCAAGUAGGUUGUGGUCAUGAUCCAAUAUUUUCAAAAUAUACUUUGAAAUGAUCAUUGCUAAGUAAAGGAGUAUUGGUGAAAAUGUUUGUAGUCGUCCUUAUAUCAUGUGUCAUGAUUGAAAUACAAAUGUAAUGCUUUUCAUCCAUGCUGGCCUUAUCUCCUAACUGCUUUCAGACCUAGUCAUGCUGAUCAGGGUGAAAUUCAAUGGUGAACAAAAAUAUGUCAAGAUCAUUAACCUGACACUUGAAAACCUUUUUGAUUGGAAAUAAAUGUAUUGUUUUCAUACCAGUCAGUCUGAUUACUCAUACCAUUACAAUUGCAAUUCUAAUUGUAGGUUGUUGUCUUAAUGUUUGUCACAGUUUUCCUGAAAUUUGAGAUCCCACUUACUAGUUUAUCAGAGACAAAGCUGUAUGAUGGGUCUGGAACUGAAGUUGAUGGGGAUGUGUUUGAGAAGGAAGACAGAUCUGGGUGUUUUCAAGCUCACACUGAACAAUGAUGCUAAAGGUAUGUGCUGGUUUUCAAGUCUUUGGUUACCUGUGGCAUCACUUUCAAUAUAACCAUACAUUUGACAUGCCUGUAUUGUUGUCUUUGUGUAUUUCAUUAUCUUCCCUGAUGAGUCCUGUCUCUGCCAGUUCUGUGAUGGGUGGUUCAGACCAUGAGUCGGUUGAUACAAUCAUUUUGAGUGAAGUGUCAAAGAUCUGAUGACGAAGCAAAAAAUCUAAUAGAGAGCAUACUGAAGAAAAAGCCAGGUGGAGAGGUUGUCAUCAAGGAAUACUCCAAAACUAAAAGCCUGACUGACUGCACCAGACGAAAGAUGAUCAACAAUUUUGUUUCGACGAUGACAGAGACUCAUGGUCGAGUGUAAAGGAAGGAUUCAUAAUGAAAAUGGUUGAGUGUUACUUGCUCCCAUAUCUGCUGAAUGUUAAAAAUGACUUCUGUAUCAGUAUCUCAGUCACAUAAUUGGUUAGGCUACUGCUGACCAUCCACUGCUAUUGGUAGAAGACUGCUCUUGUAUCAAAUUCAAUGGGCAUGAUACCGAUUCAAAAUUCACUCCUGAUAUUUAGCUGACUGGGGACCAAUGCUGCUUGUGGAGAUUCUGAUUGCCGCCUAAACAUAACAUUAUAUUCUUGUCAGGACAUCACCACCGCGUAGUGUGAGAGAAACGUUUGCACAAGGCAUCGUUCCCAUACCUGAAGGAUCCCUGCACUGAAAAUGGAUAUGCAAGUAUACAUUAUGACUGCAAAUGGGACUUGGUUAUUUGUUUUUUCUUUCAAGAUUAGUAACCAUUUUCAUAAGGAACAUUAUUACGACCCUAAUAGUGGAGAAGGGUACCUCUCGUAUAGAAUCAAAACCAUUCAGAGGAAUUUGGUUUCAUCGGAGAAACGGCCCACUCAACUAUACUCUGGAGGGCCAACUGCUGAGAGGGAGUCCAGUCCAUCCACUUUGGCUACCCUGAGUGAAGACCAGUGCCGAGAGGCCAUUUCUCUUAUGAAGCAUUCUUCUGAUGAAGAAACAGAAGAUGAGAUUGACCUUUGAGUACAGGAACAUGACCCACAAAAUGCUCCACCAUCCUAACCGAAUUUCCACGCUUCCUGGAUGUGAAGGGCUUGGUAAGACUUGUUUCAGAUUGAACAGGAUUUUGUGCUGCUGUUUGGAGAGGGAACAUCAGCCAAGGUUUUGGAGAGGUGGCCAACUACAUUCAAGCAAAAGAUCAUCAUGCUAAGCAAGGCCCUAAGCAAGGCCACUCAGGCAGCUGAACUUCAGGAGCUGAUCCAGAUGGCAGAAUCUGCAGUUGAUGAAGGAACUGACAUUAAUGCUUACGGAUCUCUUUGAUUAGGAUGGGAAGGUGACCUUUCCUCCAUCCUUCUCCUGCUCCAUUUGAUUCCUCCUUCAUCACAAGGCUGCAAAAGACCAGGCAAGAUGUCUGCAUCUCAAGCUGAACAGCAUCUUGUGAUAUUCCAAAAGGCAGGAACCAGUAUCCAGGAGCACCUUGAUGCGAUUGACCAGAGCCGCCAACCAUGUCGUCUUGCAGUCGGGACCAGGAAGAGCAGCAUCCAUGCUUACAUCAUCAUCCUGGACAAGAGCGCCUUGCAAGUCAACGAGCUCCCUUGGUGCUUCGAUGAGCUUUUCAAGACUCACUUUGUUUUUGGUACUGCUUACAAUACAAUGCUGCUCAACAUGUACACCUUCAUACAGACAACUGUGUACAUCAUAGACAUUGGGAAGGUUAAGGAGACUCCAAGGGUUGCUGAGCUCAGAGCUAGACCUCUGCACUAAUGCUGAUAUGUUUUGUUUGUACCAACUUGCUCGUAAGGCAUCUCAAGUUGAUGCAUGGAAUGUGCCCUGGUAGAACUCUUAGACUAAAAUGUGGUCAAGCAGAUUGUUGUCGUGUAUUUGGUUGUCGUGUAUUUUCAGACUUUAGGAAGCAUUUGAACAGGGCACAAUCCCGAGACUGUCAAAUUUUGUUAAACGCUAACUUGAAUGCUAAUACAGCUGUUGAUAAUUAGCCAAGUAAUGCUGAUUUUCCUUCUAAUUCUAGUUGUAACCAUGUACCAAUAUCUAACAAGAACACACUUGAUAUGUGUGUGUCUGCUAUUGCACAGCUGCAGGUAUAGGUCAGACUGUAAAUAGUUUUGUAUCUUCCAUGGAAGAAGCAGUUCAAGAGCUACAGGGUCAAGCUAAUGCGACCGCUCUUACAUGUAUAAUAUCUUCAAAAGGAUUUUUGUAUAAAAUAAGCACUUCGUUUUGAUACUGAAUUCAACAACGUGAAAGGAUUUUCAAUAUCCUGAAAAUAAUGCUGUAUUUUUCGGACAAUGUGUGUGUCACAAAUUGUCAGAAAAAUACAGCAUUAUUUUCAGGAGAGUCCUUGGUGUUAGAUUUGACAAUAGAAGAAACAACACUACUGGAACUUAUGAUCAAAUGGUCAUAACUGAUCAAUUUUCUUACAUUCCAAUUCUCCAAACAUUGCAGUUAAUUUUGAAGACCCCAAAUACAAGUGGCAUGUUUAACUCGGGGCACAAUUUUAAAAUUGAGUUUACUUUGAUUUGAAAGCUGGACUAUAUAUGAAGAGACAUCCUCUCUUUUCUAAAGAGUAAAGAGUUGAAUUGAAUGCAUUUAUGAUGACUGACACUGCUAAUCCAUUGGGAUCAAAAAAGUGAAUUCACAAGUUGGGAGGUACAUACUUUACUUUGAGAAAUUUUACCCCAAAGUUUAAUUCAAUUUUGGUAAAUAUUCACGUAUGUGCACUCUUCCAUACCCAGGACCUUAAAACGUAGGGAUUUGAUUCCAUUCUUGAGCAAAUAGUUAGCGAUUUGAAAGUGCUUGAGACUGAGGGUAUUGAAGUUCCGGUUUUGUGGAAUCAUUUAGUGCUCGUUAAUUGUUGCUGUUUUUGCCUCACUGAGAAAGUGUAUUUUCAAACUGUGUUCUCUGAGGAUGACCCAAGAGUGACUUUACGAACAAAACACAUGCAACUCAGACCAUUGUCAAACUAUUCAGUCAAACCCAACACGAUGUGAAGCAUGCUUACUUAUUGAUCUCUCUCCAGUACUUCAAUACUACAGACAGCUUUUCUGUUGAUAUAAUGCAUGACAUUUUAGGAGUUGCACAAUUUGAGGUAAAACUUGUUACAGUAUAUAUAAGCCAACUUUGUGACUGCUAAAGAUGUGUAUGGUAGAGUUCAUUCAUUUAACUAUGGCUAUCGUCCACCUGCACUCAAAUUGGAUGAUGGGAGCAAUGAUUUGGGUCUAAAUGCUAUUCAAUCUUGGUGUCUUCUCAGUAAUUUGCCAUUGAUAUUUGGUGAUCUGGUACAGAAAUAUGAUAAAUACUGGCAGCUGCUUCUGUUACUACUACAAAUUGUAAAUAUUGUGUUUUCUCUUAUACUAACAGACGGCAUGACUAUCUAUCUGAAGCACUUAAUUGCUGAACAUCAUAGGCUUUUCAAGUGUUUGUUUCCUGAUAGAAAUCUGUUACCGAAACACCACUUCAUGAUACAUUAUCGUCGUUGUAUAAGGAACAUCGGGCCCAUUCUUCAUUCGUGGUGUAUGCGCUACGAGGCAAAACAUGAUUUAUUUAAAAAGCAACUGAAGAGUUUUAAGAAUGUCACUAUGACCUUAAUCAAGAAACACAAAUGACAUGGCAUAUAACUGAGAAACCUUCAUCCAGGAUGGACUAGCUAUAGGUCCAGGAAAGAUGUCAAGGCUCAAUCACCUGAAAGAAAGCCAUGAGAUUUCUGCCAAGUUGAAUGUCUCAGUGCACACACGUUUUGUCAGUUAAAUGGGUAAAGCCCCAUGGUACAGAAUAUCGUCUUGAUUUGGUCAUAUGUGGUGAAGUAGUCAUUGAAAUGCCACUAUUUUACAAAAUGAAGGCUAUUCUGAAAGAGGAAAAUGUUUUUUAGGUUGGGUCAGCUCUUGAAACCUUAUGUUUUGAUGAUCAUUUGCAUGCAUUCAAAGUUUUGAAGCAAAGUAUUUCAUGUAAAUAACAUGUUCCACAAACCUUUUCAUUUGCUCAAGUCAUAUGGAGCAAGGGAUUCUUUUGACUACAUUCUACUGUCACUUGAUAACAGUUUAAGCCAGGGCUGGGACUUGUGGUUUGGUCAUAAUAAACAUAUUU